AGAGUUUGAUCCUGGCUCAGAGCGAACGCUGGCGGCAGGCUUAACACAUGCAAGUCGAGCGGGCGUAGCAAUACGUCAGCGGCAGACGGGUGAGUAACGCGUGGGAACGUACCUUUUGGUUCGGAACAACACAGGGAAACUUGUGCUAAUACCGGAUAAGCCCUUACGGGGAAAGAUUUAUCGCCGAAAGAUCGGCCCGCGUCUGAUUAGCUAGUUGGUGAGGUAAUGGCUCACCAAGGCGACGAUCAGUAGCUGGUCUGAGAGGAUGAUCAGCCACAUUGGGACUGAGACACGGCCCAAACUCCUACGGGAGGCAGCAGUGGGGAAUAUUGGACAAUGGGGGCAACCCUGAUCCAGCCAUGCCGCGUGAGUGAUGAAGGCCCUAGGGUUGUAAAGCUCUUUUGUGCGGGAAGAUAAUGACGGUACCGCAAGAAUAAGCCCCGGCUAACUUCGUGCCAGCAGCCGCGGUAAUACGAAGGGGGCUAGCGUUGCUCGGAAUCACUGGGCGUAAAGGGUGCGUAGGCGGGUUUUUAAGUCAGGGGUGAAAUCCUGGAGCUCAACUCCAGAACUGCCUUUGAUACUGAAGAUCUUGAGUCCGGGAGAGGUGAGUGGAACUGCGAGUGUAGAGGUGAAAUUCGUAGAUAUUCGCAAGAACACCAGUGGCGAAGGCGGCUCACUGGCCCGGUACUGACGCUGAGGCACGAAAGCGUGGGGAGCAAACAGGAUUAGAUACCCUGGUAGUCCACGCCGUAAACG
RNAcentral lists this ribosomal RNA (756 nucleotides) under uncultured bacterium. RNAcentral's name for it is "bacterial SSU rRNA". It matches the Rfam family "Bacterial small subunit ribosomal RNA", at positions 8 to 808 of the family's 1533-position model. The record is from RNAcentral.